UACGAAGGGGGCUAGCGUUGCUCGGAAUCACUGGGCGUAAAGGGUGCGUAGGCGGAUCUUUAAGUCAGGGGUGAAAUCCCGGGGCUCAACCCCGGAACUGCCCUUGAUACUGGAGAUCUUGAGUUCGGGAGAGGUGAGUGGAACUGCGAGUGUAGAGGUGAAAUUCGUAGAUAUUCGCAAGAACACCAGUGGCGAAGGCGGCUCACUGGCCCGAUACUGACGCUGAGGCACGAAAGCGUGGGGAGCAAACAGG
RNAcentral lists this ribosomal RNA (253 nucleotides) under uncultured bacterium. Its description in RNAcentral is "partial 16S ribosomal RNA". It matches the Rfam family "Bacterial small subunit ribosomal RNA", at positions 524 to 776 of the family's 1533-position model. The record is from RNAcentral.